This is a long non-coding RNA of Hydractinia symbiolongicarpus, 760 nucleotides long. RefSeq lists it as uncharacterized. The record is from RefSeq and is a predicted model, not a curated record. The transcript is spliced from 2 exons. Lineage: Eukaryota; Metazoa; Cnidaria; Hydrozoa; Anthoathecata; Hydractiniidae.
UAUUGCUUUGAAGUAAGUAGCUAGAUAAUUUUUGUAGCUUUUUCUGUCUUGAGUAUUAGGUACCUCUUUGUGAAAAACAUUAAAAGUUAUUAAGCACCAGCACUGAUUGUUAUGAAAUAAUUAACCCCCACCUCCACAGAUGUUCUUACAAAACGUGUUAUUAAAUCUUUCUUAUCAAAACAAAAGCUUCAAUUAAUAACCUCGAUCAUAUGAAUAGUUUGUUUUUUUAAAAACAAGAUAACUGAGACAAGUGUAAUCUUGUUUUAUGUUUUGAUGAGUUUGUUAAGUUUAGUAUGGAGUAUAGCUAGCCAGCAGCUGCUUGUGUGAUAGUUGGGAAUUUUGUUUAAUUUUUAACUUUUACUUUCUUUAGGUCACAAGCCUCAGCCUUUUACCCUAUCAUUUUGACUGGUCUUGAUGCAAAUAAUUGUAUCUGUUGAGUGGCGCUCCAUUCACUUCAUGGUUUGUUGUUUGACAAUUGAUCAUUUAUUUUGAUUUCAAUGCUAGAUUCAUUCGUCCAUUGGUAUUACUUCUGUUUCUGCUUAUAUACAAGUGAAGAAGAAAGAAGAAAGAAGAAAAAUUGUUUGCCUGGUUAUUAGAUUAACCUCAAAUUUAUAAAAAACAUUAUUCUGGCAUAUACAAAACGUCGGAAGAUAGUAAAAAGACGGGAGUAGUUAUCGCAUUAUGUAUCAAAACUUUUAUUUGUAUUUUAUAUUAUUAUAUAGCCUUAGUAGCCGAAAAGCACUUGUUACCACCUCGAAAA